RNAcentral lists this long non-coding RNA (689 nucleotides) under Rattus norvegicus (Norway rat). RNAcentral's name for it is "long non-coding RNA NONRATT000659". The record is from RNAcentral. Lineage: Eukaryota; Metazoa; Chordata; Mammalia; Rodentia; Muridae.
CGGAAAGGCCGGCGGGGUGAGGGCCAGGCGGGCGCCGAGCAAAGUAGGGUGGGAGCGUGCCUGGUUGCCAGGUGACAGGAGGGGGAGUUCCUGUUGCUUAGUGACUGGGAGAGGGCCUUGUCAGGUGAAGGGAGGAGAGAACCCUGGUUAUUGACAAGGGGAAGUCUUUCGUUGCUAGGCGACCAGAAGAGACCCUGUUACCCAGAGACGAGAAAGGAGGAGUCCUCCAUUGCUAGCAGGAGCUGAGGAGGGCAUGUCUCAGGCGCCGGAAGCGAGACCAAGAUCACCCUCAGUGUAUCACGAGCGGCAGCGGCUAGAGCUGUGUGCCGUUCAUGCUCUCAACAACGUCCUCCAAGAGCAGCUCUUUAGCCAGGAAGCUGCCGACGAAAUCUGCAAGAGGCUAGCCCCAGAUUCCCGGCUGAACCCCCAUCGCAGUCUCUUGGGCACCGGCAACUAUGAUGUCAACGUGAUCAUGGCUGCCCUGCAGGGCCUGGGCCUGGCCGCUGUGUGGUGGGACAGGACGACACUGGGUGGCCCUGCGCCAGGUGGACGGCAUCUACUAUAAUCUGGACUCAAAGCUACGGGCACCUGAAGCCCUGGGGGGCGAGGAUGGUGUCAGAGCCUUCCUGGCAGCUGCCUUGGCUCAAGGCCUGUGCGAGGUGCUAUUGGUGGUGACCAAGGAGGUGGAG